This 487-nucleotide ribosomal RNA is filed under the name uncultured bacterium. RNAcentral's name for it is "partial 16S ribosomal RNA". It matches the Rfam family "Bacterial small subunit ribosomal RNA", at positions 28 to 507 of the family's 1533-position model. The record is from RNAcentral.
GAUGAACGCUAGCGAUAGGCUUAACACAUGCAAGUCGAGGGGCAGCACAAGGUAUCUUGCUAUCUGGGUGGCGACCGGCGCACGGGUGCGUAACGCGUAUGCAACUUGCCCUAUACAGGAGGAUAACCCGUCGAAAGACGGACUAAUACUGCGUAUGCUCACAACUUGGCAUCAAGUGGUGAGGAAAGAAAUUCGGUAUAGGAUAGGCAUGCGUGCCAUUAGCUUGUUGGUGAGGUAACGGCUCACCAAGGCAACGAUGGGUAGGGGAACUGAGAGGUUUAUCCCCCACAGUGGUACUGAGAAACGGACCAGACACCUACGGGAGGCAGCAGUGAGGAAUGUUGGUGAAUGGACGCGAGCCUGAACCAGCCAAGUCGCGUGAAGGAUGACUGUCUUAUGGAUUGUAACCUUCUUUUAUACGGGAAUAACAAGAGUCACGUGUGACUCCCUGAAUGUACCGUAUGAAUAAGCAUCGGCUAACUCCGUG